RNAcentral lists this ribosomal RNA (960 nucleotides) under Triticum aestivum (bread wheat). RNAcentral describes it as "partial small subunit ribosomal RNA". The record is from RNAcentral. Lineage: Eukaryota; Viridiplantae; Streptophyta; Magnoliopsida; Poales; Poaceae.
AAAAUGUUUAGACUUACUCUACUUCGACGAGCAGUUGUUUUGUGUCUCUUCUUUCAUGCAGUUCAAAUUAGAGGCAUUCGGUUGUCUUCUACUAUUCAUGAGGAACCUACUUCAUUGGCGCGAGCUUUGGCCUAUGGUCCAGUCAAACAAAAUUUGACAUAUUUGAAGUCAAAUUCCAUUGAGACAACAACUUCUGGACAAGAUUCAAGUUCAUGGGAUCAAACUUACUUUGCAGUACACCAAACAUCCUCUGGAGGUCCCACCGACAACUACUAUGGCUUACACGCCACCAUGGGCGUGUAUGGCCACAAACUUAAACCCGGGCAAUUGACUUCAACUUAUAUUACUGUUACCCAUAGCGGAGAUGGUGUUAAAUCAAGCUUUAAUGCAAUUCAAGUUGGCUGGCAUAUUUAUCCAGAAAACUACGGCGACUCACGUCCCCACUUCUAUACCUACUGGACGAGAGAUGGAUAUGAUGCAACCGGCUGCUUCAAUAUGAACUGCCCUGGUUUCAUACGGGCAAAUGGCGCCUUGGUAGCUCCGGGUGAUGUUAUAAAACCAAUUUCAGGUGUCCAUGAACCUGUACAAAAUGUCACACUCAAAGUGCUUAAGGACAAAGCAAGUGGAGACUGGUGGGUGUACUAUGGUUUCAAUGGCAACCCCACAGGGGUGGGAUACUUCCCAAGGUCGUUAUUCACUUAUUUGGCACAAAAGGCAAAUGGAAUGGCUUUUGGUGCCUUUGUGGUAGCCGAUAAGACACUUCCAACUCCUCCCAUGGGAAGUGGUAUCCGCCCAAAUGGUGGCCAAGGUCGCGCUGCAUCUUUCACCAACCUUCGAUUCAUUGAUCAAGAUGGUAGGAGCAGUCCAAUGACGACAGAUUGGCCCAAGUUAGUUACGAAUAACAAAUGCCACUCUAUUACUCCUAUUGGUCAUGCUGAAUGCCUAUAUGGUGGACCUGGA